CGAGAAAAGGUCAUUAAGCGUUAGAGAAGUCUCUUAACCUUUUGCUGUCUAUUUCAAAUCUUCAACCAGUGUUUUAAUUUAGUCUCUUGGUUGAUUUCUCUUCUCUCUAUUCUGUAAUAUUUUCCUUUGAAUUAGAAAAGUUGGGGGCAGGGUACCCUGCUUCCAUAUUGCCUCAGAUGAAGGAAAACAAGUGUAGGAAUAGAAUUUAUUUUAUUAGUUAAAUUAAAAACUACAAUAAAAAUUAAAACUUACCAUGACAAGGCUAUAAAUGACGAACAUCAUGCAAUUGAAUAAGGAAAGUUUCUUAGCUGGAUAUCAUGAGUUUUGAGCUACUCAUAUUAGCUAAGAGCUAGAGUAAUGUUUUUGGUAAAAGGUUAUGCUCCCAUCAAACCUGAUUGCUAAGCUAUGUUGUACUUCCAUUGAUUUAUGAGGC
RNAcentral lists this long non-coding RNA (433 nucleotides) under Elaeis guineensis (African oil palm). RNAcentral describes it as "long non-coding RNA (EGUI_LNC072140)". Lineage: Eukaryota; Viridiplantae; Streptophyta; Magnoliopsida; Arecales; Arecaceae. The record is from RNAcentral.